Mya arenaria is the source of this 76-nucleotide small nucleolar RNA. RefSeq annotates it as small nucleolar RNA SNORD79. The record is from RefSeq and is a predicted model, not a curated record. Lineage: Eukaryota; Metazoa; Mollusca; Bivalvia; Myida; Myidae. The transcript has a single exon.
GGCCGAUUGUGAUGAUCUCUAUAAAUGGGAAUCUCUCUGAUGUAAAUAAUGAGGAUGAAAAAAAUCUGAAUUGGCC